GCGGGCGUGGCGAAACGGUAGACGCAGCGGACUCAAAAUCCGCCGUAGCAAUACGUGUCGGUUCGAAUCCGACCGCCCGCACCA
RNAcentral lists this transfer RNA (84 nucleotides) under Methylobacterium hispanicum. RNAcentral describes it as "tRNA-Leu". It matches the Rfam family "tRNA". From Rfam's summary of the family: Transfer RNA (tRNA) molecules are approximately 80 nucleotides in length. Their secondary structure includes four short double-helical elements and three loops (D, anti-codon, and T loops). Further hydrogen bonds mediate the characteristic L-shaped molecular structure. tRNAs have two regions of fundamental functional importance: the anti-codon, which is responsible for specific mRNA codon recognition, and the 3' end, to which the tRNAs corresponding amino acid is attached (by aminoacyl-tRNA synthetases). tRNAs cope with the degeneracy of the genetic code in two manners: having more than one tRNA (with a specific anti-codon) for a particular amino acid; and 'wobble' base-pairing, i.e. permitting non-standard base-pairing at the 3rd anti-codon position. Lineage: Bacteria; Pseudomonadati; Pseudomonadota; Alphaproteobacteria; Hyphomicrobiales; Methylobacteriaceae. RNAcentral also lists the same sequence under 4 other names. The record is from RNAcentral.